This 1298-nucleotide long non-coding RNA is filed under the name Dendronephthya gigantea. RNAcentral's name for it is "uncharacterized LOC114536216, transcript variant X2". The record is from RNAcentral. Lineage: Eukaryota; Metazoa; Cnidaria; Anthozoa; Malacalcyonacea; Nephtheidae.
AAAUAGAAAGUGCUAUUUUGACACCAAUUUCGGUGCUAAUUUAACACCACCAAAUCUGACAUUACGCUAAAAGUGCCAAUAUGACACCUUAUAAUUUCAGCACCUUUGCAAGGUGCUGAAAUAGCACCUAUUUCGCAGACGGAAAGUGCUAAAAUAACGCCAGAUUGAGAGUUAAAGUAUGGGGUGUCAAAAUAACACUAAAUAGCAAUAGAGAAUUUUCGACUUUAUUACAAAGUCAUCUUCAGACAGAAUGGAUAGGGAAAGAGCGGUUAUUUAAGUUAUUGGAAAAUAAAUCUGUAUUUUCGAAUCAAUGUUUUAGAACAAGAAAUUCCUGUGCGUUUUCGCACAACUAUUCAUCUGAGUGAUCUGACGACAUGGAAAUUCGGCUUGUUCCUAUGAUACGAAAAAACCCAAUAGAGACGAAUACUAGACAAAUGGUACAUCGAUAGUGAUGCAUUGUCCUUUUCAUUUCAUCAAACUAUGUUAUUCCGUGCUAUAUUUUCGGACUGCUUAUGUAUUGAUUGCUACAAAGUAUUUAUUUCGCAAUCGCCUGAUAUGUAUGUCCAUAUAAGGAACAAAAUAUAACACGUGAUCAGCGCCUGUAUGCAAAUUUUGAGCGCGUCGUUUGAAAACUCUUUUGAAUCGUAUUUCAUACUGCAGUGUUGAAGACGUUUUCAGCGUAUUUUCUUAACUAUUUUGGUACUUCUAAAUAUGCUGAACACCAACGGACUCACAUAAGGAAAUAUCAAGACAAUUGGCUAUGAUAUUAUCUCAGAAAUAUCUUGAGAAGCCAAAUGAAUUCUACUUUUAAUACUGCGAUGAUCUCUUUAGCAAUCUGGGUCAAAGAAAAUAUCAUUGCAAUAAUAGUUUUCACCAAGAUUGAAUGAAGGCCUCAAAUGUGGCAAAUUAAGGGGAAACUGUAAUUCUAAUGAUAUGACAAGGAAAUAUCCCUUCCUUGCUGACUCAAUUGUGGUUGUGGAACAGGUUCAUGGACCAUAACAAGGCCAUAGAUUGAAACAAUUUUAGAAGAAUAUCCUGCACUACAGCUCAUUACAGAGAUCAGGACCCAAGGCUAAUUCGUUCAGAAGACCUUUCAGAUGUUCAAACUUUCAUGAUUGCGGUGGAGGGGCAAAUGUUAACUUAUCAAAGAACAGACUCAACUUCAUUUUAUCUACUAAACAUGGAGUACAUUGCUGGUGAGGCAAAUGUGUGUGCAUUUUUGGAAACUGCUCUCGUCGGGAAGCCUUAGGACAAAAACUUUUGAAGGACUUUAAGUACCGUAAAAUUUUAAACAUUCU